This 870-nucleotide ribosomal RNA is filed under the name Amphidinium bipes. RNAcentral describes it as "partial large subunit ribosomal RNA". It matches the Rfam family "Eukaryotic large subunit ribosomal RNA", at positions 86 to 962 of the family's 3401-position model. Lineage: Eukaryota; Dinophyceae; Amphidiniales; Amphidiniaceae. The record is from RNAcentral.
AUGCGAAUGAACAGGGAUGAGCUCAGCAUGGAAAUCGGGGCCUCGGCCUUGAAUUGUAGUCUCGAGAUGCACUGCCAACGGUGGCGCGGAUGUAAGCCUCUUGGAAAAUAGCAUCAAUGAGGGUGAGAGUCCCGUCUGUCAUGCGCAGCCCCCCGUGCACGGCGUGCCUUCGAAGAGUCACGUUCCUUGGGAUUGGAGCGCAAAUUGGGUGGUAAAUUUCAUCUCAAGCUAAAUAUUGGUUCGAGACCGAUAGCAAACAAGUACCAUGAGGGAAAGGUGAAAAGGACUUUGAAAAGAUAGUUAAAAGUGCCUGAAAUUGCUGAAAGGGAAGCGAAUGGAACCAGAAAGUCUUGGCGAGAUUGUUGCGCGCUCAGGUGAUGACAUGCUGCUCAACGUAAGUGCUGCAGCAAAUUUUGAUCUGGCAGUGCGUGGUGGUUCUUGCCUUGCGUGUCAUCUUCAGUUCAAAGUUAGGGACAACUAGAAAGACAUGGUAUGUUGCCAACGGGUGACUGAAUGUCUUUGGCAGAACCCACUCCUGAAUUGAUUGAUGACCACACGGUUUCCUUCGACCCGUCUUGAAACACGGACCAAGGAGUCUAACAUGUGUGCAAGUUCUCGGGUGUGCAAACCUGCGUGCGCAAUGAAAGUGACUGCUGGGAUAUCUGCGCCAGCAACUGACCAAUCAAUUGUGAGAGGUUUGAGUAUGAGCAUAUCUGUUAGGACCCGAAAGAUGGUGAACUAUGCCUGAGAAGGGCGAAGUCAGGGGAAACUCUGAUGGAGGCUCGUAGCGAUACUGACGUGCAAAUCGUUCGUCAUACUUGGGUAUAGGGGCGAAAGACUAAUCGAACCAUCUAGUAGCUGUUUCCCUCC